CGGGUGAGUAACGCGUAGAUAAUCUGCCUUAGACUCUGGGAUAACAUCUCGAAAGGGGUGCUAAUACCGGAUAAGCCCACGAAGACGUGAGUCUUUGCGGGAAAAGGGGGCCUCUGCAUAUGCUCUUGAUCUAAGAUGAGUCUGCGUACCAUUAGCUUGUUGGUAGGGUAAUGGCCUACCAAGGCGACGAUGGUUAGCUGGUCUGAGAGGAUGAUCAGCCACACUGGGACUGAGACACGGCCCAGACUCCUACGGGAGGCAGCAGUGGGGAAUUUUGCGCAAUGGGGGAAACCCUGACGCAGCAACGCCGCGUGAGUGAUGAAGGCUUUCGGGUCGUAAAGCUCUGUCUAGAGGGAAGAAGUGAUAUUUGGUUAAUACCCAGAUUUCUUGACGGUACCUCUGAAGGAAGCGCCGGCUAACUCCGUGCCAGCAGCCGCGGUAAUACGGAGGGUGCAAGCGUUGUUCGGAAUUAUUGGGCGUAAAGCGCGUGUAGGCGGUUUGUUAAGUCUGAUGUGAAAGCCCUGGGCUCAACCUGGGAAGUGCAUUGGAAACUGGCAGACUUGAAUACGGGAGAGGGUAGUGGAAUUCCGAGUGUAGGAGUGAAAUCCGUAGAUAUUCGGAGGAACACCGGUGGCGAAGGCGGCUACCUGGACCGAUAUUGACGCUGAGACGCGAAAGCGUGGGUAGCAAACAGGAUUAGAUACCCUGGUAGUCCACGCCGUAAACGAUGAGUACUAGGUGUUGCG
This 746-nucleotide ribosomal RNA is filed under the name uncultured bacterium. RNAcentral describes it as "bacterial SSU rRNA". It matches the Rfam family "Bacterial small subunit ribosomal RNA", at positions 103 to 827 of the family's 1533-position model. The record is from RNAcentral.